CAGUCGUACCGACGAGAAAUCAGCUUAUCGUGUGUUAACUUGUGGGCGUGCGUGAGUUUCGGCCUCGCUGUUUGCAUGUUUGUGCGCUUUGGGUGUACUUUUUCGUAUGGUUGGCCAACAUCAGUUUCGAUCACUAUAAAAUGACUGGCGGAAUGUAGCUUCGAUUUCGGUUGAAGUGUUAUAGCCUCUUGCUGUACACGGUGUCGGGGAUCGAGGACUGCAGCACGCCUUUGGUCGGGGUUCGCCCACGCCACGUGCUUAGGAUGCUGGCAAAA
RNAcentral lists this ribosomal RNA (275 nucleotides) under Glomus sp. (unid). The record is from RNAcentral. Lineage: Eukaryota; Fungi; Glomeromycota; Glomeromycetes; Glomerales; Glomeraceae.